UUUCUCCUACGGGGCGCAGCAGUGAGGAAUAUUGGUCAAUGGGCGCGAGCCUGAACCAGCCAAGUCGCGUGAGGGAAGACGGUCCUAUGGAUUGUAAACCUCUUUUGUCGGGGAGCAAAAGACGCCACGUGUGGCGUUCCGAGAGUACCCGAAGAAAAAGCAUCGGCUAACUCCGUGCCAGCAGCCGCGGUAAUACGGAGGAUGCGAGCGUUAUCCGGAUUUAUUGGGUUUAAAGGGUGCGUAGGCGGCGCUUCAGGUCAGCGGUGAAAUACCGGGGCUCAACCCCGGGGCUGCCGUUGAAACCG
This 305-nucleotide ribosomal RNA is filed under the name uncultured bacterium. RNAcentral describes it as "bacterial SSU rRNA". It matches the Rfam family "Bacterial small subunit ribosomal RNA", at positions 333 to 635 of the family's 1533-position model. The record is from RNAcentral.